This 253-nucleotide ribosomal RNA is filed under the name uncultured bacterium. RNAcentral describes it as "partial 16S ribosomal RNA". It matches the Rfam family "Bacterial small subunit ribosomal RNA", at positions 524 to 776 of the family's 1533-position model. The record is from RNAcentral.
UACGUAGGUGGCAAGCGUUGUCCGGAUUUACUGGGCGUAAAGAGCGCGCAGGCGGUCGUUCAAGUCGCGUGUGAAAGCCCCCGGCUCAACUGGGGAGGGUCACGCGAUACUGAUCGACUCGAAGGCAGGAGAGGGAAGCGGAAUUCCCGGUGUAGUGGUGAAAUGCGCAGAUAUCAGGAGGAACACCCGUAGCGAAGGCGGCACUCUGGGCCGAUACUGACACUGAGGAGCGAAAGCGUGGGGAGCGAACAGG